GUGGGGAAUCUUGCGCAAUGGGCGAAAGCCUGACGCAGCCAUGCCGCGUGAAUGAUGAAGGUCUUAGGAUUGUAAAAUUCUUUCACCGGGGACGAUAAUGACGGUACCCGGAGAAGAAGCUCCGGCUAACUCCGUGCCAGCAGCCGCGGUAAUACGGAGGGUGCAAGCGUUAUCCGGAUUCACUGGGUUUAAAGGGUGCGUAGGCGGUUUUAUAAGUCAGUGGUGAAAUCAACGGGCUCAACCUGUUAACUGCCAUUGAUACUGUAGGACUUGAAUAUGAGAGAGGUAGGCGGAAUGUUGCAUGUAGCGGUGAAAUGCUUAGAUAUGCUACGGAACACCGAUUGCGAAGGCAGCUUACUAUUUCAUGAUUGACGCUGAGGCACGAAAGCGUGGGUAGCGAACAGGAUUAGAAACCCGUGUAGUCC
Molecule: ribosomal RNA, 425 nt
Filed under: uncultured bacterium
Lineage: Bacteria
Description: partial 16S ribosomal RNA
Rfam family: Bacterial small subunit ribosomal RNA
Source: RNAcentral